UUAAUGUCUAUGAAGGAGAAAAGUAAGUUAGACCCAGCCUCGCAGGGAGGAAGCGUCACCGACUGCAAGCGCUUCCAGGUAUGGCUAAACUGAAGUUCUCUCCGGAGAUGCCGGCUGAACAAAAAAGUAGGCUAGGCCGUAAUUCCCACGUUACAGGGAAGGGGGUAUCGGACUUUUGUUCCCGUACUCUGCAAAGAGGUGGGUCUCAUUUUUUGGGAUCAACUAGGGUGGUAUCGCGGUAAGCUAUUAGCUUCUCGUCCCUUUU
This 265-nucleotide non-coding RNA is filed under the name Desulfotomaculum nigrificans. Its description in RNAcentral is "T-box sequence". It matches the Rfam family "T-box leader". Rfam says of the family: Uncharged tRNA acts as the effector for transcription antitermination of genes in the T-box leader family. The record is from RNAcentral. Lineage: Bacteria; Bacillati; Bacillota; Clostridia; Eubacteriales; Desulfotomaculaceae.